Molecule: ribosomal RNA, 499 nt
Filed under: uncultured bacterium
Lineage: Bacteria
Description: partial 16S ribosomal RNA
Rfam family: Bacterial small subunit ribosomal RNA
Source: RNAcentral
GACGAACGCUGGCGGCGUGCCUAAUACAUGCAAGUCGAGCGGACUGAAUGGGAGCUUGCUCUUGUUCGGUCAGCGGCGGACGGGUGAGUAACACGUGGGCAACCUGCCCGCAAGACCGGGAUAACUCCGGGAAACCGGAGCUAAUACCGGAUAACACCGAAGACCGCAUGGUCUUUGGUUGAAAGGCGGCGCAAGCUGCCACUUGCGGAUGGGCCCGCGGCGCAUUAGCUAGUUGGUGAGGUAACGGCUCACCAAGGCGACGAUGCGUAGCCGGCCUGGGAGGGUGGCUGGCCAAACUGGGACUGGGGCACGGCCCAAGCUCCUACGGGAGGGAGCAGGAGGGGAUCUUCCGCAAUGGGCGAAAGCCUGACGGAGGGACGCCGCGGGGGCGAAGAAGGCCUUCGGGUCGUAAAGCUCUGUUGUGAGGGACGAAGGAGCGCCGUUUGAAGAAGGCGGCGCGGUGACGGUACCUCACGAGGAAGCCCCGGCUAACUACGUG